Molecule: ribosomal RNA, 467 nt
Filed under: uncultured bacterium
Lineage: Bacteria
Description: partial 16S ribosomal RNA
Rfam family: Bacterial small subunit ribosomal RNA
Source: RNAcentral
GAUGAACGCUGGCGGCGUGCUUAACACAUGCAAGUCGAACGGUGAAGCAGAGCUUGCUCUGUGGAUCAGUGGCGAACGGGUGAGUAACACGUGAGCAACCUGCCCCUGACUCUGGGAUAAGCGCUGGAAACGGCGUCUAAUACUGGAUAUGAGCUGCGACCGCAUGGUCAGCAGUUGGAAAGAUUUUUCGGUCUGGGAUGGGCUCACGGCCUAUCAGCUUGUUGGUGAGGUAAUGGCUCACCAAGGCGUCGACGGGUAGCCGGCCUGAGAGGGUGACCGGCCACACUGGGACUGAGACACGGCCCAGACUCCUACGGGAGGCAGCAGUGGGGAAUAUUGCACAAUGGGCGAAAGCCUGAUGCAGCAACGCCGCGUGAGGGAUGACGGCCUUCGGGUUGUAAACCUCUUUUAGCAGGGAAGAAGCGAAAGCGACGGUACCUGAAGAAAAAGCGCCGGCUAACUACGUG